Molecule: ribosomal RNA, 702 nt
Filed under: Micarea fallax
Lineage: Eukaryota; Fungi; Ascomycota; Lecanoromycetes; Lecanorales; Micareaceae
Description: SSU rRNA
Rfam family: Bacterial small subunit ribosomal RNA
Source: RNAcentral
CGGUAAUACGUAGAAGACUAGUGUUAUUCAUCUUUAAUAGGUUUAAAGGGUACCUAGACGGCAUAUUAAACCUUAUGUGGAACUGGUAUGCUAGAGUUACUUAUGAGGAAGUUUUAAAGUACUAGAGGUGUAGAGAUAAAAUUCAGUUAUACCUUUUUUCUAACGAAAAACAUCGGCACAGAUAUAGGUGAAAACAUCUUCUUAUGGGAUAACUGACGUUGAGGGACGAAGGCUUUUUAUAGCGAACAGGAUUAGAUACCCUGGUAGUCAGAGCAGAAAACGAUGAGUGUCAUAGAUUAGAUAAGUAUUUAUUCUAUAAAUGAAAAUGUAAACACUCCACCUCAAGAGUAAUUUGGCAACAUUGGAACUGAAAUCAUUAGACCGUGUCUGAAACCAGUAGUGAAGUAUGUUGUUUAAUUUGAUAAUCCGCAAAAAACCUUACCACAGCUUGAAUAUCUAUUUACUUACUUUUAUUACAUGACUUGUGAGCAAUGUUAUGUAUAACUACGAUUGCUUUUUAUACAAUCGUGUCAAUAGAUGAAAUAAUAUAGGUACAAGUGUUGCACGGCUGUCUUAAGUUAAUGUCGUAAGACUUUGGUUAGCUCCAGUAAAUUAACGCAAACCCUUGCUCUAGUUUUAAGUAGAGUAGUUCUCCACCAUAUUGGAUAAGAUAACAGGAUAAAGACAAGUCAUCAUGGCCUU